AUAGUUUCUCGGCCUUUUGGCUACGAUCAAGUGUGAUAUCUAUUAUCAGUUUAAUUUCUGAUAUGCCACCUGUCUGGGGACCAUAUAUAUAUUUUUGAGCACUGGGGCCGCUUUAGAAGCUUACUUCUGGGGCCUUGGGCAUUGACCCGUAAUGAGAAUAUCUUCAGGUACAGUGCGCCAAUU
This is a small nuclear RNA of Hyla sarda, 183 nucleotides long. RefSeq annotates it as U2 spliceosomal RNA. NCBI's taxonomy places the organism in Eukaryota, Metazoa, Chordata, Amphibia, Anura, Hylidae. The transcript has a single exon. The record is from RefSeq and is a predicted model, not a curated record.